UUUACUUUUGUGCCAAGCAAGUGAAGACCUCCAUGAGGCAAUUGGCAGAACCCAAGGGAUAUGCAAUCUAUCCCCCGCUAUUCUGUUGAGUCGUCCCUCUGCUCACACCACUGUGUUGAUGCAUUGGGACACAAACCCAAGAUCUUGUACUUUGUACAGUUGUGUCAGAGUCUUGAGCGUAGAAGGGUCCCUCUAUUCUGGACCCACGCUCCUUUGUCUGAAGCUCUCCCUGGUCAGGGAUAAGAGCUGUGAAGUCUAAUCUUCAC
RNAcentral lists this long non-coding RNA (266 nucleotides) under Lathyrus oleraceus (garden pea). RNAcentral's name for it is "Pisum sativum (pea) long non-coding RNA (PSAT_LNC006943)". The record is from RNAcentral. Lineage: Eukaryota; Viridiplantae; Streptophyta; Magnoliopsida; Fabales; Fabaceae.